This 305-nucleotide unclassified non-coding RNA is filed under the name plant metagenome. RNAcentral's name for it is "partial contains 5.8S ribosomal RNA, internal transcribed spacer 2, and large subunit ribosomal RNA". The stretch from base 1 to 105 matches the Rfam family "5.8S ribosomal RNA", at positions 50 to 154 of the family's 154-position model. The record is from RNAcentral.
GAAAUGCGAUAAGUAGUGUGAAUUGCAGAAUUCAGUGAAUCAUCGAAUCUUUGAACGCACAUUCCGCCCUUUGGUAUUCCUUAGGGCAUGCCUGUUCGAGCGUCAUCUAAACCUUCAAGCCCUGCUUGGUGUUGGGUGCCUGUCCCGCCUCCGCGCGCGGACUCACCUCAAAUCCAUUGGCGGCCCCCGCGUCGGCCACGAGCGCAGCAGAAACGCGAACUCGUGAGCCCGUCCGGGCGGCUCCCAGAAGCUACACCCACCCAGUUUGACCUCGGAUCAGGUAGGGAUACCCGCUGAACUUAAGC